UUUUUGUUGCACAGCAGAGAACAAUUUACUUGUCAGUUCAUGGCUUCAGAGUUACAGUUUCCCAAGGUGGACAGAGAUGCUUUAGGGUGGUGAUGUUGAUGUUGCUAUUCUUGAUGUUGAUGUUGCAUGUGUUUCUUGUUGCUUAUUGUUGCUGGUGUUGCUUGGAGAUCAAUGUCCAAGGCUCCUCAUUCCGGGGGAGGGCAUGCUGGAGGGCAGGUAGGUGUGCAGGCAGGUGGGCAGGGAGGUAUGCAUGUAGGUAUACAUGGAGGUACACAAGGAGGCACACAGGGAGGCACACAGGGAGGCACACAGGGAGUACAGGGAGUACAGGGAGCACAGGGAGCACAGGGAGCACAGGGAGGGAUACACGUAGGGAUACACUUGGGAGGACAGGGGCAUGGUGGUGGACAACAUUUAGGUGGACAACAUGGGGCAGGACAGCAUUUUGGUGGGCAACAUGGGGGAGGGCAACAUGGGGGUGGGCAACAUUUGGGUGGACAAGGCUUGGGGCACGGAGGAGGGCACGGGAAACACUUGACUGGGCAGGUUGGAGCGCAUUU
Molecule: long non-coding RNA, 560 nt
Filed under: Sarcophilus harrisii (Tasmanian devil)
Lineage: Eukaryota; Metazoa; Chordata; Mammalia; Dasyuromorphia; Dasyuridae
Description: lncRNA (ENSSHAG00000032349.1)
Source: RNAcentral